GAUGAACGCUAGCUACAGGCUUAACGCAUGCAAGUCGAGGGGUAACGAGAGGAAAGCUUGCUUUCCUUGUCGACGACCGGCGCACGGGUGAGUAGCGCGUAUCCAACCUGCCCCCAACUAGGGAAUAACCUUGCGAAAGUAAGACUAAUACCCUAUAAUUUCCUCAGAUGCCAUCUGACGAGGAAUAAAGAUUUAUCGGUUGUGGAUGGGGAUGCGUCUGAUUAGCUUGUUGGCGGGGUAACGGCCCACCAAGGCAACGAUCAGUAGGGGUUCUGAGAGGAAGGUCCCCCACAUUGGAACUGAGACACGGUCCAAACUCCUACGGGAGGCAGCAGUGAGGAAUAUUGGUCAAUGGGCGGAAGCCUGAACCAGCCAAGUAGCGUGCAGGAUGACGGCCCUAUGGGUUGUAAACUGCUUUUAUACAGGAAUAAAGUUAGCCACGUGUGGUUAUUUGUAGGUACUGUAUGAAUAAGGACCGGCUAAUUCCGUGCCAGCAGCCGCAGUAA
RNAcentral lists this ribosomal RNA (506 nucleotides) under uncultured bacterium. RNAcentral's name for it is "partial 16S ribosomal RNA". It matches the Rfam family "Bacterial small subunit ribosomal RNA", at positions 28 to 523 of the family's 1533-position model. The record is from RNAcentral.